CCCUUCGAGCUCACGGAAACAUCGAGGAAGCAUACCCUUCUGAGCUGGAACGUGUCCUUAUUGAGGUGCACAACGCCAAAACCAUCGCUUCAGGGGCAGUGAUUCGGGACAAUUCGGGCUGUAGAUCGCCAUGAAGGGAGUCAGCCAACGUGGGCUGCGCGGCAGCAGUCUCGCCCUGUCGCGAUCGAACCGUACCUCCAAGGAGCAGCGUGGCCGUGGACAAAACAGCGUCCCAAGGUGUGCCGCCACGUCGCCAUCUCCACGGACGGCGGCGGCUCUCGUCCCUCCCACGACGCAGCAGCUGCAGCACGCACCGCUUGUCGCGUUUACACAGUGGAAUGAGGCGGCCAUGGAGGCGCUGCGUAACGGCGAGGGUGACUCCAGUCGGCGCAUUCUCUCGGCCCUGCUACCGGUUCUGGAAGCACGCCUGCACGCCAUGCAGUGCAAGCCAUCCGCUCACACUUCUUCCACCGCCAUCGAGUCGUGGCGUCUCGCUCACGCGCUGACGCUCAACAAUUACGGAUGUCAAUUACGCCGUGACGGGCUCACGGGCGAGGCACUUCGGCAGUUUCUGCGCGCAAAGCAGGUCGAGACGCUUGUGUUCGGAAAGCCAUCCUGCUCCACGAUGCUGAACCUCUCCGCCGUUCUCCUGAGCAGCGGAGCGGCGGAGGAGGCGCUGGCCAUUUCAAAGGAGUGUGUGAUGGCGGCGCAAGACGGGGAGCCGAUUCUUUUCAUCACCGCCCUGCAUAACCUUGCUGUCGCGCUGGGGCAGCAGACAAGCGAGCGCGAGCGCAAAGCAGCGCUGCCAACGAUGCUGCAGGCGCUGCGUGAGGCGCAAAGCGCACUCGGCGAGCAACACGCAACCACACUCAUGCUCAAGGAAAAGUGCGGCCUGACGUCGGGCUGGAUCUCGCAAGACCGCGGGCCGGAGGCCGGGCCUGAAGUCGCCGCUCCCGUGCCUGCUGUUGAAUCGCCUUCGGUGCACGGCACGUUGCAUGGGAACUCUGCAGCGCAGUCGCCCUCCCCGGCGCCACUGACGGCGCAAGAGAUUGCUAGAGCUGCUCUGCACACCCUGGACUUUGGAGAGCCCGUUCAUGCCCAUCCGGCUGCACACGCCGUCGCAGCUCUCGACGCGGCGGAACCGGCGAACGGUGAUUCGAAUGGGUGGGUACAAGAUGCGUACCCUGCUUCCUCGUUACGGCCCUCGCCGAACGCAGACGCGCGCAGCCAGAGCUAUGCGGGGAGAGCGACGGAAGAUAAUCAGGACUCGCUCCUCUCACUACCGCGACAAUCAACGCACUUGGACUCUGUGACGGACGUGGAUGCUGUUCGCGCCACGCAUCUAAGGAUGCCGCUGGUAGAGAGUGCCUUGCCUAAACCGCUACAAGUUUCUAGUCGGCAGAGCAGCGCCGCGGCCUCGGUCGAUCAGCAGUGCCUCAACUCCGUCAAUCUCUCCGGCAUGCAGCGUAGCGUCGCUAUUGCGCCCCUAGAGACGGUGCUGCAGGAGCCUUUCCAGACUGCGUCGCUGGUGAUGAGCCGCAGCGUCCCCAAUCUUGUGGGACCUGCUGGGCCUAUACGAGACUUGUACAAGAUGGACAGCGCGGACGGCAAAAGGGGCCCCGUCUUUUUGCGCUUCAGUUUGCCGCCGCGCCUGCCAGCCGCAAGCACGGUGUCUCUGCCGCUGCGCAAAGUCGCUCCUCAAGGAGCUGCGGCAGGCCCAUCGGGCGCGUCCGCGGAGGGCCGCCGCAGGAAGCCGUCGCCCGCGACGAUGCCGCCGAGCGUCAGUAAAUGGAGCGGUGACAGCAACCUAGAGAGCAGUACGGCGGCCACGCUUAUCACCGAAAUGCCCACAGCUGGGGACGUAAAGACGGUCGAUAAAGGCGAGAGACCAUUCUCCAAGACUGGCGGCCGCGCAACACUACCAUCUGCGCCACAGCGAAGCCUUUUCGGGUGCAGUGGUUCCUUGUACGCGAGACGGACUGUGCGCCGCGAGGUUGAGAAGCAAGAGGAAAGGGCCUACCGCGUGCAGAGGGAGGCUGAGAAGAAGGCCGCGGAGGCCGAAACCGCCUUUCAGCUGGCCCUCCAGAAGAUUCAGUGUCGUACUCAGAACACCGCAGCCGUCACCAUACAGCAUGCGUGGAGGCAGUGGUGGAGCGCCGUAGGUCGAACACGCCGAGAUGUGCAGCUGCAGAGACUCGAGGAACUCCAACGCCGUCGCCGUGAGCGGCUGGCAUUGGGCUUCGUGGCUGGGAAGAUGCCGGGCAGGUCUGGGAAAGUCACCAUCCCGCCGCCACCGUCCCAGCAACACGGUCACAUCGGUGGCUACGUCGUACCUGCCAUAGUACUGCGGUGCUGCAGAAAGUGGCUGGCCAACACCGUUUGCGUCCGACAUGUGGCCAAGAGCCACCGCAGCCUAGUGGACGGUCGCCUGCAUGAGGCAGAUGUGCGUCGCGGCGUCUGCCGAAUCCAAGCGUUGUGGCGUGGCUCCAUUGUUCGCCACCGGCGCGCUGAACACCAGCAGCAACCUCAGUUGGACGGUGAGAAUGCCUGCGUGAUUGCCGUAUCUGCCGCGUAUCGGCGGCGCGCGGAAGCCGAGCUCCUCGAGUACUCCGCGCUGGUUGUGCAACAGGCGUACAGGAGCUACCGUGCGCGCCAGCUGCGGCGUCGGCUCUACGCUGCAAAGCACAACGGACCGGCAGCGGUGAUCCAGCGCUGGCUGCGAUGCACAUUGGCUGAUCAGCGCAACCGCGGUGUUGACUCGCGCACCAUACGCGUGCGCGACGCGGCGGCGAGGACGAUACAGCGGGUGUGGCGCGGUUACGUUGGUCGCGUCGCGUUCCGUAUGCGCGAGCUGCGACUUCGAAUGGGCCAUGCCGGCGUCUACCCGUUUGCCCUUGAAGCUGGUAUUGGUACUGCACGGCGCCUUGCCGCGAUCGACGACCGCGAGGGCAGGGCGGCAAAGCACAUCUCGGCAAAGACCUCCACGCCCCCAUCACCCGCCGCAGUGAAGAGAGCAGGUGCGCGUCCUUGUUCGGGUAAACCGGAUUCCUUUGCUGCCGGCAAGGCGGCGCUCGACUUAAACUGCACUGCGGCACUCGUCGACGCGUAUGCAGCUGACUGCUUGCAGCGAAGCGGCGAGGUGUAUCGGCUGCGUGACGCGGAGCGAGACCGAUACCACAUUGGCCUUUACGUGGACGUAAGAGCCACCAGGGAGCGGCAGGCGUGGCAGGAGUCGUUGCGAUUACGGUCUACCGAAGUGCUGCGCCGACGUGCCGCGAUGGACACUCGGAUUCACGAAGAGCAGCGCGCCUUCACGGAGCACCGUGCCGCACUCGCCAUUCAGCGCGCCUAUAGGGCCUGGCGAAGGAUGCAGGAGGACAAGGGUAGGAACACCGAUUUCCUCUAUUACUCACGUGCUCUCUACCAACAGCAGGAGCUUGGUUCCCUGGCGGCGCGGAAGCAGCGGCAGCGGGACACCGCGCGGGCGAUUGCACUUUACGGUGAUUCGGCCAUGGCGAUGCGAGCAGAACGCGUGAAGGCGGCCGAGGAAUUAGCUUUGGUGGCAGACUGCAACGGCCCUGCUAGCAGCAGCAGCGGGCCGAAUGGGGUCAUCGCGGCACCGCGCAAAGGGGCGAUGAAAAUAUCGUCGUACGCUGAGCGUAUGGCACGGAAGCAGCAGCGUCAGGAGCAAGAGGCGAUGCAGCGCAGGGACGAGGUAUUGGUCGCCCUCACCUAUCCACAUGACAUGGCGCACGCGCGAGAAGGACCUGAUGAGUGCGCGGCACGCACUGGCACCACGUACGAGCAUCCUUACUAUAUCCCCUACGUGAACGAAGAGCAUUGCCGCACUCUCGGGAUUGAUUAGCGCAGGAAAACAUGAAGCGUCCACAGGUGUCUUUUCUCUUGACCCUAAAAAAUACUCACAUGAAAUGAGCCACAGCUGUGCCUUUCUCCGCCCGCACUCUGUUCUGAAACCACCGUUUUUGUGCAGCUCAAGCCUCCUCGCUGGUUCUCCCUUUUUUGUGUGUGUGCGUUGUCGUUUGGUGGUGUGCGCGCUCGGAAACGCUACGGGUUUGCAUUUUGUUUGUCGGUAUUCUUGUAGUGGUGGAGGGGACCUUUCGCGUGACGCGGGCUCGUGCGUGCAGCUGCCCCCCCCCCGCCUCCCCCUCCCCGAAGCCGCGCCGCCAUGUCGCAUCCCUUUUUUGUUGUUUUUGUCUUUGCUCUUGUUCGGAUUCAGAAAGACUCGUUCUUUUUUUUUUCCUUCUACAUAUAUCCGUGUGUGUCUGGGUGUGUGCCCAUCAUUUCUCGUUGCCGUGCCCACGCACGCACACACACACACACACAUAUGUGCCGGCAAGCAUAUAUAUAUGCAUGCACAGCUGUAUGCGUGUGUGUGCGUGUUGAAGCGCACCUUCCUCUAUGAGACCAUGUAUAGUCCUUAUCUGUGUUACUGUCCUUUGUUGUUUGUUUUCCCAGGCUCGUUUUCUUCGUCUCGUCUCCACCCACCCUUUUCUGUUUCUUUCGGUUGCUGGGCAACGGGAGAGGGACGGUUUUGUGUUUCCAUCAGCUCCCUCGAUCCUGCGCUCACUUUGCAGGCACGCUUGUGUGCGCUUUACUGGUGCGUCAUGCUACACUUCUGGAAUAG
Molecule: unclassified non-coding RNA, 4645 nt
Filed under: Leishmania donovani
Lineage: Eukaryota; Euglenozoa; Kinetoplastea; Trypanosomatida; Trypanosomatidae
Description: gene:LdHU3.34.3070(CDS-product:IQ_calmodulin-bind ing_motif_containing_protein_putative)
Source: RNAcentral